CCUACGGGAGGCAGCAGUAGGGAAUAUUGCUCAAUGGGGGAAACCCUGAAGCAGCAACGCCGCGUGGAGGAUGAAGGUUUUAGGAUUGUAAACUCCUUUUGUUAGAGAAGAUUAUGACGGUAUCUAACGAAUAAGCACCGGCUAACUCCGUGCCAGCAGCCGCGGUAAUACGGAGGGUGCAAGCGUUACUCGGAAUCACUGGGCGUAAAGAGUGCGUAGGCGGGGUAAUAAGUCAGAUGUGAAAUCCUGUAGCUUAACUACAGAACUGCAUUUGAAACUGUUACUCUGGAGUGUGGGAGAGGUAAGUGGAAUUCUUGGUGUAGGGGUAAAAUCCGUAGAGAUCAAGAGGAAUA
This 353-nucleotide ribosomal RNA is filed under the name uncultured bacterium. RNAcentral describes it as "partial 16S ribosomal RNA". It matches the Rfam family "Bacterial small subunit ribosomal RNA", at positions 338 to 708 of the family's 1533-position model. The record is from RNAcentral.